UAGUCCACGCCGUAAACGAUGGUUACUAGCUGUCUGGACUUCGGUCUGGGUGGCCAAGCGAAAGUGAUAAGUAACCCACCUGGGGAGUACGGUCGCAAGACUGAAACUCAAAGGAAUUGACGGGGGCCCGCACAAGCGGUGGAGCAUGUGGUUUAAUUCGAUGAUACGCGAGGAACCUUACCAGGGCUUAAAUGUAGUCUGACAGCUUUAGAGAUAGAGUUUUCUUCGGACAGAUUACAAGGUGCUGCAUGGUUGUCGUCAGCUCGUGCCGUGAGGUGUCAGGUUAAGUCCUAUAACGAGCGCAACCCUACCGUUAGUUGCCAGCAUGUCAUGAUGGGGACUCUAACGGGACUGCCGGUGCAAACCGCGAGGAAGGUGGGACGACGUCAAAUCAUCACGGCCCUUACGUCCUGGGCUACACACGUGCUACAAUGGCCGGUACAGAGAGCAGCCACUGCGCGAGCAGGAGCGAAUCUAUAAAGCCGGUCACAGUUCGGAUCGUAGU
Molecule: ribosomal RNA, 505 nt
Filed under: uncultured bacterium
Lineage: Bacteria
Description: bacterial SSU rRNA
Rfam family: Bacterial small subunit ribosomal RNA
Source: RNAcentral